UUCCGCGUUCGCAGCCAAUCCCCGCGGAGUGGGCGGGGCGGGCGCGAGCCCAGCUGUGGUGGUAAAUAGAAUACAGACCUUCGCCCUAAGGUGUCCACCGAGGACGAAGCUUUCUACACCUUGGAGCUUUCAGCAUCCCUAAAGUCACAGCCAAACGGGCAAGGUCUGCACAGCAGAGGGAGAGCCACCAUCGUUCCCUACUACCCACCGAAUGUUAUCAAGAUAGCAUUUCUGAAGAAAGUGAAAACGCAAAUAAGUUUGCCACGGACAAGUGACGUUUGUAGAGUGAGUUCGGUUUCUUAAAAUAAGGAAAAGCUUUGUAAAACAAAAAUAAAAACAAAAACAAAAACAAAUACCCGUGUGCGCAUUCGGUGGCAGGUUUAGUGUGGGAUCUUGCUAACCCGGAGCAAUGCAGGAGGCAUUAUUGUAAACUCGGUAAAACGAGUCCAUAUUGGAAACCGUGCUGAUCGCUAAGGAGCUCUGAGGCAGGACGCUCUCCGGGUUCCUUUUCUAGAACAGGGAAGGGCUAUUAUAAUGAUGCUGUUAAUCGGAAAUCAUUAGGGGAAUUUGCAUGUUGAAAGUGUAUUUGCAUACACUGCCCUUGAGAGGCUGCCCCUCUGUGCUUUGCAGUGUAGGUGGCAAAGUAAUGUGAUUAAUUAUGCACAAAUCGUGAUUUCUGGUGUCACAUUCCAGCACCUACUGUAUUUUUAAAGCUUUGUGACAGGUAGGUGGCCCCAGCCAUUGGUCGACAGCUUCACACUAUUAAAAGAAAAUUCUGUCAUGUACUAGGUUUGGAAUCUUUUCAGCGCUAGUCCUGGACGGAGCUUCAGGUUGUGUUUUGUUCUGUUUUGUUUUCUUUUUCUAUAAAUCUUUAAGAACUCAUUCCUAUGGUCUCAAUAAAGAAAAAGUUUGCAGUUA
Long non-coding RNA from Camelus dromedarius (Arabian camel), 918 nucleotides. RefSeq lists it as uncharacterized. NCBI's taxonomy places the organism in Eukaryota, Metazoa, Chordata, Mammalia, Artiodactyla, Camelidae. The transcript is spliced from 2 exons. The record is from RefSeq and is a predicted model, not a curated record.